CCAACACUACCGAUAACGAUAACAAAAAGUGACACAAAAGCAAAGGGAAAAUUUCUUUCGGUCGUGUGCUGUGUGUUCAAAUUCCAAAUACCCAGCCAUCCCGUGUUAGCCGUGCGAAGGCCCCCGCGUUGGUGAUUAUAUUGUAUAAUAAUAUAACUACUGCCCAACCAAUCGAGCGGAAAUCGCGGCGACUGCUCUCAAGGUGGCCCCGUAGCUAAUAAGUGUUCGCGAAUGAGAGCAAAGCAGAUGGCGGAGAGCGUCCCGCGCUUCAGUGUGUGUGUGCGUGAACGAGUAGAAAGCGGCGGUAAAAACCUUUGCGUGUAACCCACAAAAAAAAACACCCGAUUCCAAUAUCAAAAACAUAAUAUAUUGCCCAUUGAAAAAUAGGCAACGAUAUUGCGCGGGGAAAUUGGAAAAUCCAUUGGAAAUCGAGAGCAACAGUCGCCGAGGAGCGGAAUCUGCGGACGAAAACAAAAACGCUUCGAAAACGCAGUCGCCGAUACAGAAAGUGCCAGCGUGUGCGUGUGCAUAUGUGUACGUAGUAGUGGCCAAAGAGAACGGUGAAGAAAAAAAAACCUAACUGUGCAGUGGAAAACGCGCGGCUGAUAAAGAUUGUGAUAAUCACAUAGAAUACAAUAAAGAGAAAAGAAACCGCAAGACCAAAUUGGUUGAAUAAUAUUUAAGCCAACGCCAGUGCUGCAAAAAUCGGGCCGCAUUAUCAUUCAGUGUUGCACAUCGCUGCCGCCCCACGCAUAAUCCAACACUUCCCCCCCGCCCACACCCACACUCGCACUCGGAUUUGGAUUCCUACGUCUGCAUUGUAAUAUUGCGCUUAUUUUCACUCGCGAGCUUAACAAUGCGACACGAUCACCAAUUGAACAUUUUUGUUUUUUUUGUUAAUUGUUAAAUUUUCCUUUGACUACGU
Molecule: non-coding RNA, 925 nt
Organism: Drosophila takahashii
Lineage: Eukaryota; Metazoa; Arthropoda; Insecta; Diptera; Drosophilidae
Source: RefSeq, a predicted model, not a curated record